Molecule: ribosomal RNA, 490 nt
Filed under: uncultured bacterium
Lineage: Bacteria
Description: partial 16S ribosomal RNA
Rfam family: Bacterial small subunit ribosomal RNA
Source: RNAcentral
AUUGAACGCUGGCGGCGGGCCUAACACAUGCAAGUCGAACGGUAACAGGAAGAAGCUUGCUUCUUUGCUGACGAGUGGCGGACGGGUGAGUAAUGUCUGGGAAACUGCCUGAUGGAGGGGGAUAACUACUGGAAACGGUAGCUAAUACCGCAUAACGUCGCAAGACCAAAGAGGGGGACCUUCGGGCCUCUUGCCAUCGGAUGUGACCAGAUGGGAUUAGCUAGUAGGUGGGGUAACGGCUCACCUAGGCGACGAUCCCUAGCUGGUCUGAGAGGAUGACCAGCCACACUGGAACUGAGACACGGUCCAGACUCCUACGGGAGGCAGCAGUGGGGAAUAUUGCACAAUGGGCGCAAGCCUGAUGCAGCCAUGCCGCGUGUAUGAAGAAGGCCUUCGGGUUGUAAAGUUCUUUCAGCGGGGAGGAAGGGAGUAAAGUUAAUACCUUUACUCAUUGACGGUACCCGCAGAAGAAGCACCGGCUAACUCCGUG